UUCCCACUAAAUAUUUUUCUGAAAUUUCAUUUGACCUCUUUAAUGAUUUAAAUGAGAUGUUUGAUAUAUGGCAAUGAGGCGGCAACACAACAAUAUAAUGCAGCAAAAAACAUAUAAAGGACAUAUCUGUUUCUGUAAAGGAAAUAAUUAUUUCACUGUUGAAAAUAUGAGAUGAUAAAUUCAAUGUACCUUAAAACCAAUAUGUCGUAGGAUUGUUUUAGCUUUAUAUGUUGAUCAUAAAAUCAUUUUUGUAAUAUUUUUGUCUCACACUUAAAAAGUAAUAGACCUCCAAUUCAGUAUUGUAUAGAUUAUAAAGUGUAAAUUUGUUAUAUUCCCCAAUAAUAGGGUAUGGUAUUUCUUUUGUCCUAUUUUUUCACACUGCCAAAAUUGAAUUUAAGUUAUCGUUAAAAAUGAAAUUUGUUGUAAUUAAUUAACAUUAUUUGUUAUUCUGCACUAUGAAUAGAAAAAGUGUUUGUAAAUAUAGAAUGUCAAAAAAGGUAGUGAUUUAAAUAGGUUGACUUUAAACUGCCAUUGUUUAGUAUAGUAAUAGUUCCUAUAAUUACACUAGUUACUUGUACUACACUGUGUCAGUGUAUUCAGUUUUUUUAAUUUGUUUAAGUAAACUAGUCAUUCUGGGCAUUUUUGUUUAUUUUUAAUCAUGUUUUGCAAACUUUCCUUUAUUAGUUAUCAGAAGUUUUUCACAGCAAAUUCUACACACCAAAGCACUGAACUUUUCAGGUUUCUUAAAUUCAAACUACCACCACCAGAAGUGUUCUUAAAUUUUCCAGAAUCUUGCAAUAUCUGCAGGUGUAAAAUGAAUAAAAUAACUGUAUGAAUGAGUAGGAACAGGGUAACAUUCAUGUCAUGAUGUGUAUAUAUUUCAUUCACAUCAUAAUUUAAAAAAAAUCAGAAAUUUAUGCACAAGAUUUUAAAAUUUAUUUGUCAAUAUUAUUUUGAUUUAAAGUUUAGUUAUAAUAAGACAAACAGUACCGAUUCAUUUUUAUAGAUUUAUUUCUUUGAUUUAAUACAAUUAUUAGAAAUUUGUGUUUACUGUAGACAUUUUAAUUUUUAUUGAGAUUGCCCCCAAGUAUUUUUCAGAUGUAUGACAUGCAUUCAGUGUGAAUGUUGUCAUCUGUAAAAUAAAAUGUCCUUGUUUUGUGCACUGAUAUCUAACUUGUUGAAUAAAAUGAUUCUUCCGUUCUGGCUUAUAUAUAAGGAAAAGACUGUAGCCUAUGUCAUAGUGGACACAUUAGCACAUCUAACAUUAUUUUCCGAUUCUCAGUUUACUUUAAGAUUCCUCCAUAAGUGUUCAUUGUAAGUAUUUCACUUGUCAGUCAUCUUUAUUUAUUGUCAUAAUGUGUAGUUUUAGUUAUUUAUGGAUCUGUGUAUUGUAUUUUUUCCUUAUUUAAUCUGUAAUAAAAUGAAAAACAUAAC
Molecule: long non-coding RNA, 1434 nt
Filed under: Mytilus galloprovincialis (Mediterranean mussel)
Lineage: Eukaryota; Metazoa; Mollusca; Bivalvia; Mytilida; Mytilidae
Source: RNAcentral